UUAGCCUACGGGGGGCAGCAGUGGGGAAUAUUGGGCAAUGGGCGCAGGCCUGACCCAGCAACGCCGCGUGAAGGAAGAAGGCUUUCGGGUUGUAAACUUCUUUUCUCAGGGACGAAUAGAUGACGGUACCUGAGGAAUAAGCCACGGCUAACUACGUGCCAGCAGCCGCGGUAAUACGUAGGUGGCAAGCGUUAUCCGGAUUUACUGGGUGUAAAGGGCGUGUAGGCGGGG
This 231-nucleotide ribosomal RNA is filed under the name uncultured bacterium. RNAcentral's name for it is "partial 16S ribosomal RNA". It matches the Rfam family "Bacterial small subunit ribosomal RNA", at positions 334 to 580 of the family's 1533-position model. The record is from RNAcentral.